Capra hircus (goat) is the source of this 310-nucleotide long non-coding RNA. RefSeq lists it as uncharacterized. NCBI's taxonomy places the organism in Eukaryota, Metazoa, Chordata, Mammalia, Artiodactyla, Bovidae. The record is from RefSeq and is a predicted model, not a curated record. The transcript has 3 exons.
CUCUUGCAUUUCUCACGAGCAUCCUAUGCUAAUAAACUCACUCUCUACGUAUUGCCUUGCUUCACACUGAAUUCUUUCUACAUUGAGACAAGAGAACCUGAGCUUCAGUAAGUCCUGAGACCAGGUCAUCGACUUCCCAUGUGUACGAGUAACUGAUCAUGACUUAGUCAUGAAAGAAGCACAAUUACAGCAGUGAAAGUGAGGCACUUACAGUUGGCUGUCCCGAGGUGCCCCCACUUCUGAGGUGGUGACAGUGAGAAGUGACUUAAGGGCAGGAUUGCCUGAUGGGUGACCUGGCGUUGAAGGGGAC